CUUCCUCACGGUCUCCUCAGAGCCAACAGGCGCGACCCCAGCUCAUUGUGUCCGCCAUCUUGGGGCGACAGGCAGAAGCCGAGAGCGAGGAUCCUUAUCCGCUGCGCACGCCGGGAUAGGGGGCGGGGCGGGAAUAGCGGCGUUAGGCGGGGUGGUGACGUCAGCGCAGCUGCAGGGGGCGGGGAGCGGUGGUGCGGCGGCAGGGCUUGCGGCCCCGUUGGACCGGGGGUAAUUGACCCUUACUUCCCCAGUGAGUGGGAAGGCUGAGGGGGUGAUCUAGGGCCCAGCGCAGUUUUGCUUGAUUGAGACCUCAGGAAAUUCAGGCGCUCCCCAGAAUUUAGGGAUCAAACUCGGGACCUUGCACUUGAGAGGCAGGCGCUGGAACCACUGAGCCUGGUUCCCUGCCCUACUGUAGUGGGGGCUCUGCUGGCUUCCAGUCCAACAGUAUCACUGCCUUAAUGGAUGGAUUUUCAAAGGGACCCAGAAAGGCUCAUUCCAGUGACAAGAAGAACCUUGAAUCCAGCUCUAGGAGAGGCAAGUAACCCAGAACAUGGUAACGUUUAUUUGUCAAGCCACUUCAAGAAAGAGCUACCCGAUAACAGUUGAUAUACUGUUUAAGGGGGAGGGGAGUGCAUGGGAAUAAAAAAAGAAUUAAGAAGGUGUUAUGUACAUAUAUGAACUCCCCAUGAGGAAUAUGAUCAUUAUGUACUACAGAUAUGCACUAAUAAAAAAAUAAAAAUUGAAAAAAAACUACUUAAUGCCUGACAAAUUGCUUGGUUUGCUAAAUGAAUGUUUAAUUUCACUCACCACUAAGAGCAAAGAAAUGUUCUAUGAUGGAGAUGAACAGAGGUAAUUCCGUGUGUUAUCAGGUUCCGGGGUGUUGGGUACUCUAUCUAUUACUGUGAAACAGGCAGUUAUAGUCUGUUAUAGUCCAGGCUUUUGUGUACAAUGGGAAAAGAAUUGCAAAGUGUACACCUGAUAGUAAGCGGCAAGCAGCUCCAUUCAUUGAAGAUCAAGAGGCAUUGUGCUCAGGGCUCAUUGGUGCCAAAAAAAGAUAUGAUACAGACAGAAAAAUGGUGGCAGGUGACAGGAAAGGAAAAGCACUGCACAUAAGUUAUAGCACAGGGAAACAGCAACAGCCACAAUCCUCAAUAAAUAAGGCUUUCAGAAUUUAAAGGAUAUGCAUCUCAACCAGGUGCCUCCCCCUGAAUGUCUAGUUGUGACUGACAGGAAUGACUGAUGGGAUGCUGAAUCAUUUUAGGGGCUCUCGAUAUGCAAGCUUGUCCCAGAAUUCACUCUGAUCUUUAUUACA
This is a non-coding RNA of Heterocephalus glaber (naked mole-rat), 1312 nucleotides long. The record is from RefSeq and is a predicted model, not a curated record. NCBI's taxonomy places the organism in Eukaryota, Metazoa, Chordata, Mammalia, Rodentia, Bathyergidae.